UUUAUGUGUCUUCGGCGGCAUCAGUAAUCUAAUCCGGUCUGCCACCU
This 47-nucleotide non-coding RNA is filed under the name Bacillus subtilis. Lineage: Bacteria; Bacillati; Bacillota; Bacilli; Caryophanales; Bacillaceae. The record is from RNAcentral.